AAGAGGAGAUGAAAAAACGCAUAGGGAAGGCUGCCUCGACAUUCGCUAGACUCAGACCAAGAGUUUGGGAAAACCAUAAGCUAACUACGGUGACCAAAAUGGAAGUCUACAAGGCAUGCGUUAUGAGUACACUGCUGUAUGGCAGUGAAUCAUGGACCACCUACGCAAAGCAAGAGAGAAAACUAAUUUCAUUCCAUUUGAGAUGUCUCCGUAGGGUCUCAGCCCAGGAAGAAAAACGCACAAUCCGAAAAACGGCCAGCUCCUCUAUCACCGAAGCAAAAGCCACCUUAACUUGCGCUAUCUGUGGACGGGAGUGUCUCUCCAAAAUAGGGCUCUACAGCCACAUGAGGAAGUGUGCUCUGAGAUGAACCAUAGUCGUCCUACGACUGAAGGAGGCCAAUGAUGAUAUACUAAUAUGAAUGUACAGGCCCUUACUACUUUGCAAAUACAACCGAUUUGUUCCUUGAAAAGAUAAGAUACCCAACAUAUUUAGAUGUAGGCUUUGAGGAUCGCUGCCGUUAAAAAAAUUAUUCGAAAAAUAAUAAUAAUAAUUUUUUAAAAGCCAAUGAAAUGCCGGACAUUUUCACCCAUUAGGCCGGAUGCAGGACACAACUUCAAAAACGAAUGCAUGUCCUCAUUUAGCCGGACGUUGUGGAAACCUUAACUAUAGGCUAUAUUCUUUCAUAUUGAAUGUUUCAGCCAAGUUAUUACUAUUCCAUUAUAUAUAUAGCUUUCUAAUAAAAAAUCCUUUAAUAUUAUUUGUGUGUUACUAUAAAGCCUUGACUAGAUUGAGCGUAAGCCUAAUGUUGGUGCUUUAGAGUUGUGUUUUUUUUUUCAAAAUCUUCUUGUGGACUGGGUUUCCAGGCAAAUAUUUUUCACCCAGAACAGGGGUCUGCAACCUUUUGAGUCGCAAGAGCCAAAAAUUACAAAUCCAAACAAUAAAUAGUACUCGCAUAAAUUAAGUUUUUUGAUUAAGAUAACAACGAAUCUGUUUAUUCAUAAAAAAUAUAGCUCUACUUAUCUUUAUACUUAUUAUUAUAUUAUAUUAUUAUUAUACUUACUACUUAUAUAUAUAUAUGCAGUGCUUCUUUUGUGACGCUACGCACAGGUACGCGUACCGGCACCUUUUUCAAUGUGGGGAAAAGUUAUUACUUUUCUUGUGUUUUUGUGUUUUAACGUAUAUUUUAAAAUUAUAAGUAGUUAGAAAUUAGGCAAUCCAUCACUGAGCACAGGAA
Molecule: non-coding RNA, 1235 nt
Organism: Biomphalaria pfeifferi
Lineage: Eukaryota; Metazoa; Mollusca; Gastropoda; Planorbidae
Source: the annotation of a GenBank genome assembly